Molecule: ribosomal RNA, 839 nt
Filed under: Odontella sp. (in: diatoms)
Lineage: Eukaryota; Bacillariophyta; Thalassiosirophyceae; Eupodiscales; Odontellaceae
Also listed under: 1 other name
Description: eukaryotic LSU rRNA
Rfam family: Eukaryotic large subunit ribosomal RNA
Source: RNAcentral
AAAGAAACUAACAAGCAUUCCUCUAGUAACGGCGAGUGAAGCAGGAAGAGCUCACCAUGUGAAUCUGUGUAACUAGUCUUAGACUAGCGCACCGAAUUGUGGUCUGUAGUGGUAACAUCGGUAACUGUUUGUGGACCAAGUCCCUUGGAAGAGGGCAGCUGAGAGGGUGAUACUCCCGUUCUUGUCUACAAACAGUAGCCUCACGAUGUGCCUCCUAUGAGUCGAGUUGCUUGGGAUUGCAGCUCAAAUGGGUGGUAAAUUCCAUCUAAAGCUAAAUAUUGGUGGGAGACCGAUAGCGUACAAGUACCGUGAGGGAAAGAUGCAAAGAACUUUGAAAAGAGAGUUAAAGAGUACCUGAAAUUGCUGAAAGGGAAGCAAAGGAAACCAGUGCAUAGCCUACUCAUAUUUCUGCUGCCACUUGUGGCAGUGGCGCUGUGAUUGGCGGUGGUCAUUGUUCGUUCACCCUGGGAUAACUGUGUAGACAGGAUUUGACUGCUUACACCCAUCUUGGGAGCAACCAAUACUGACAAAAUGGUUUUCUUUACCCCGUCUUGAAACACGGACCAAGGAGUCUAACAUAUGUGCGAGUAUAGGGGUGGCAAACCCCCAUGCGCAAUGAAAGUAACAGUGGUUGGACCUUCUGGGGCACAAUCCGCCGGCCACAAUUCUUCGGAAGAAAGGUCUGAGUGUGAGCAUAUAUGUUGGGACCCGAAAGAUGGUGAACUAUGCCUGAAUAGGGUGAAGCCAGGGGAAACUCUGGUGGAGGCUCGUAGCGAUUCUGACGUGCAAAUCGAUCGUCAAAUUUGGGCAUAGGGGCGAAAGACUAAUCGAACCAUCUA